Helianthus annuus (common sunflower) is the source of this 1882-nucleotide long non-coding RNA. RefSeq lists it as uncharacterized. The record is from RefSeq and is a predicted model, not a curated record. Lineage: Eukaryota; Viridiplantae; Streptophyta; Magnoliopsida; Asterales; Asteraceae. The transcript is spliced from 10 exons.
GGAUCCGAAUAGGUUAUACGGGUCACUUAUUGUUCCUUCCAUCAUACGUCUCUCUUCUCCAUCUCUAAUCUUCAUUCACAUCCUAGGGUUUUUGCAACUUCAUUCGCACCUCUCCUUCUCAUCCAAUCGCAUCCAUGAAGAUCAUGUUCAUCCCCAAGGUCAACCUAAAUCUAUAUUGCCAAUCUUCUGCCCUAAUUCUCUCUGCCGUCCUUCAGCCUUACGAAAUCUUCAUCACAAAAGGUUUCUAUAGCCAUCAUCUACCUUACUUCACUUUAGCGCUUCCGUCUUCCUCCUUUGCUGCAGAAGAUUCCAAACCCUAGGUAAGGUGUAGUUUUUAGAAGUGAAACAAUGGUGGAGAAGACGAAAGGAAUGAAGGAAGAGGUGGUGACGAGAGAGUACACCAUUAAUCUUCACAAGCGGCUUCGUGGGUGAAUCCGCCGGAGUAGGUUUCUCUGUCUGAAUAACAUACCUUGGAUUAGCUUAUUAACAAAUCUCAAUGAGCUGUUCAAAAGGAUACGUAAAAUAAAGGUUAUUUAGUCAUGGUAUGCCACAGGAUGUUUAGGUGCAUUUGAUUCAUUUAAUUUGCAAUUUAGGGAUAAGGAGUUGGUUCAGUUAAAUCACUUCAUGGCUUUUAACUAUGCUGUUGGCAGAUGCAUCAAUGAAAUAAAAUAGCAUUGAAGACGUGGCAGUUGUUAAGAGUGCUGGUGCUUUUGAGGUUGCAGCUCGACAACAUUUGGCUAAUGUAGUGAAAAAAACUGUUAAAAGGCGUGCUCAACUUGGGGUUCAAGCUUUUGCGGAUGCCCUCCUUAUCGUGCCAAAGACACUGGUUGAAAAUUUUAGACUUGACACGCAAGAUGUUAUAAUUUCUUUGACUGGAGAGCAUGACAACGGGAAUGUUGUUGGACUAAAUCAACACACGGGGGAUCCAAUCGACCCUGAGAUGGAGGGCGUUUUUUACAUCUAUGCUGUCAAGCGCCAACUCAUCAACUCAGGCCCGGUGAUUGCUUCGCAUAGUAAAGAUAAGUACUGGGAAGCUGCUGAUGAAUUUGGGUCCAAAUAAAACCAGAUUAGCUUGGGUCCAAAUCAAACCAGAUUUGUAACUUUCUGAUUAAGUUACAUGUAGGCCUCAAACAAGUCGAUCAGGUUAGCUUGGGUCCAAAUCAAACCAGAUUUGAGUCCACAGUUCCAGGUUUAAAAUUUCGCUCUCUGUCCAAGUUUUACGAGUUCCUUGAUGUGAAUCUAGGAUUGUGUAAAUAAAUUAUCAGAUUGUGCAGAUUGAUCCGAAUCGAGUUCAAUCUCAAUCUCAAUGUUGCUAUUGAUGAAGUGAAAAUGCUUAGAGACAUGGGCAAAGCUUUAUUGGGGCAGGUGGUGCCCCGGACCCAUCGAUUUACUGCUUAAAUGGCUUCUUCAGCAAAUAAAAAAAAGACUAUAAAUGGUUUUAACGUAUUUUAAUAUAUGUAUAAUAUAGGGGUGAGCAAAGUAGGUUAACCGACCCGACCCGAGGAAUGACCGACCCGACCCGAUACCCGAAAAACUAAUAUUAAGCUACCCGAAAUAAAACCCUAUGUAUAUGUCUCGGUUCCGGUUCUGUAUAAGUCGGGUAUAUCGGUCCUAGGGUUCAAGACCGACCCGACCAAAACACUUCAAUUGAAUUCAGCCAGCGGCAACAGUAUACAAUUAUUCUGGUAUGUUUGUGAAGGCUGUGAAGAUUGAAGAAUUCAAGAAUCUGUAUGGCAACCACUUUCAUUUCAGGUUUAAAAACAUUUCAAUCCUAGUACCUAUUUCAAUCAAAUGUUAAUUUCUUGAUCAUGUAGUAUAACAUGUUUGUUUUAUUAGUUGAUUCCCUGAUGUUUGUUUUAAUUACUGAAAGUCUUGAUACGAA